Molecule: unclassified non-coding RNA, 342 nt
Filed under: soil metagenome
Description: partial contains 5.8S ribosomal RNA, internal transcribed spacer 2, and large subunit ribosomal RNA
Rfam family: 5.8S ribosomal RNA (bases 1-119)
Source: RNAcentral
GAUGAAGAACGCAGCGAAAUGCGAUACGUAAUGUGAAUUGCAAAUUCAGUGAAUCAUCGAGUCUUUGAACGCACAUUGCGCCCCCUGGUAUUCCGGGGGGCAUGCCUGUCCGAGCGUCAUUGCUGCCCUCAAGCACGGCUUGUGUGUUGGGCCCCGUCCUCCGAUCCCGGGGGACGGGCCCGAAAGGCGGCGGCGGCACCGCGUCCGGUCGAGCGUAUGGGGCUUUGUCACCCGCUCUGUAGGCCCGGCCGGCGCUUGCCGAUCAACCCAAAUUUUUAUCCAGGUUGACCUCGGAUCAGGUAGGGAUACCCGCUGAACUUAAGCAUAUCAAUAAGCGGAGGA